Molecule: transfer RNA, 77 nt
Filed under: Clostridia bacterium
Lineage: Bacteria; Bacillati; Bacillota; Clostridia
Also listed under: 3 other names
Description: tRNA-Arg
Rfam family: tRNA
About the family: Transfer RNA (tRNA) molecules are approximately 80 nucleotides in length. Their secondary structure includes four short double-helical elements and three loops (D, anti-codon, and T loops). Further hydrogen bonds mediate the characteristic L-shaped molecular structure. tRNAs have two regions of fundamental functional importance: the anti-codon, which is responsible for specific mRNA codon recognition, and the 3' end, to which the tRNAs corresponding amino acid is attached (by aminoacyl-tRNA synthetases). tRNAs cope with the degeneracy of the genetic code in two manners: having more than one tRNA (with a specific anti-codon) for a particular amino acid; and 'wobble' base-pairing, i.e. permitting non-standard base-pairing at the 3rd anti-codon position.
Source: RNAcentral
GCGCCCAUGGCUCAGCUGGAUAGAGCGCCAGACUACGAAUCUGGAUGCCCCUGGUUCGAAUCCAGGUGGGCGCGCCA